UACUGGCUGGGCGCGGUGGCUCACGCCUGUAAUCCCAGCACUUUGGGAGUGAGGCCAAGGUGGGUGGAUCAUUUGAGGUCAGCAGUUGGAGACCAGUCUGGCCAACAUAGUGAAACCGCGUCUCUACUAAAAAUACAAAAAUUUGCCAGGAGCCUGAGGCAGGACAAUCGCUUGAACCCGGGAGGUGCAGAUUGCAGAGAGCCGAGAUCGCGCCACUGCACUCCAGCCUGGGCGACAGAGUGAGUCUCUGUCUCAAAAAAAAAAAAAAAAAGUACUCAUAUCUCUUUUUCUGUAACUUUUAAAAUCCACUCCCAAAUACGUCUUGGGGGAACUUCCUAUGUCAGUAUAGCAUGGUAGUCCAUAACUGGAUUCUUCAAUAACAGUAAAUCUAGCUAUUUCCCCCAGCGGAAUGGGAAUUGUGUCCAACAUUUCAAACAUCUGGAAAAGUAUCAUCUAUACGCAGUGUAAUGUUUACAGCGAAUUCUGCCACUGCUCGCUGAUUUUAAACACAUUACCCUGUGUCUCAGUUUUUUAUUUGUAAAUGAUAUUUUACCACCUAAUUUACAGGGCUGUAGUGAGGAUUACAUCGAUUGACAUAUUUAUGGCAAGCUCUCAGAGAGUCUUGUACCUAAUACCAUUAUUUGCUCUGAUCCUUUAGUUUAGGCUCCUAGGAGACUUGAUUCUGGCUGACGUGCUGCGACUGUCAUCUUUCAGAUCAGAGUAACUCUGAGUCUGGUGGGAGUGUCUUCCCCCGACACCCCGUAUACCUCCGCUUUAAGAUGAGAGAAUCUUCUGUCGGUGCUAGCGUUCAGCGGCUAACGGAGGAGGCUUGACUCAACCUGCCGGACACUAAAGGACAUCACUCUGAGCCUGAGGGAGGGGCUCUCCUUUGGUCUCCCUCUUUUGUCCAGCCUUGCCCCAGGAUAUUUUUCUAAGCUGAGUUAGCCACUAGGCACUCCACAUCGCUGCCCGCAUCACCACGCUGCGGCAUCUGCUGUUGCAUCUGCGAUCCACAAGGCCUACACCAUUCGCCAUCGCACCUGGCUGUUUGUUGCAGAUAUUUCUCAGAUUCUCACUCUGUCAUCCAGGCUGGAGUGCAGUGACAUGAUCUUCACUUACUGCAACCUCUGCCUCCCGGGUUCAAGUGAUUCUCCUGCCUUAGCCUCCAGAGUAGCUGGGACUACAGGUGCGCACCACCAUGCCCGACUAAUUUUUUUUUUUUUAGUUUUUAGUAGAGAUGGGGUUUCACCACUUUGGCCACGCUGGUCUGGAUCUCCUGACCUUCUG
This 1287-nucleotide long non-coding RNA is filed under the name Homo sapiens (human). RNAcentral describes it as "HSALNT0118313". Lineage: Eukaryota; Metazoa; Chordata; Mammalia; Primates; Hominidae. The record is from RNAcentral.